Molecule: long non-coding RNA, 2551 nt
Organism: Folsomia candida
Lineage: Eukaryota; Metazoa; Arthropoda; Collembola; Entomobryomorpha; Isotomidae
Exons: 2
Source: RefSeq, a predicted model, not a curated record
GCAUAGCUCGCAAUAAAUAAUUGAUCUGUCUCAGCUGGAUUGGAUUUCCAAUAAAAAUUCCUCCUCAGAGUUCAUAUCAUUCAUGGUGGAAUUGGAUCGUGAACGAGAUUUCAGUUUUUAAUCUCGAUUCUUCAAGCUUUCAACUUUACUUUAUUUUUAUUUAACAACCGCAGUAACACUUUUUAAAUUUUGAUUGACAAGCAAAUACUUGUAGAAGAAUCGAGUCGUGGUUCAAUUGCGCUUAUCAUUUUGUCAAUUUGUUGCAGCAGUAUGGAAAGUUAUUUAGCUGUGUUAAUAUUAUUUAUUUUGUGAGACUAACGAAACACUUGACUUUCUUCCAAAAGAAAAUUGCAAAGAAUUUGGCACUGCCAAAAUUGUGUACAAUUAAAUUAAGCAGAAAUUAAUCGAGACCUACACCGGAUGCACAUUAGGAGAACAGUUAGUAAAUGUUACUAGAAAGAAAAUAUUUUACCUAUCGUCACGAUUUUGACGAAAGGCUUGGCCGAUUUUUUUAAGAAAUCAUUACAUUCUCAAUUUCUAUGAAGGAAUUAUCUGCACUUAAAAUACCUGAAUGAAAGAAAGUGACACUCCAUAAAAGUCAAGAGUCAAGUCAAGAUCCAAUAUCACACCUGUCCAACAAGCCAUAUUUGACCUGUGACUACUAUUUACUAACAAGGAUUGAAAACCAACCAACGCACACACACAUCAUGAAAUUUCAAUCGCAGCCUUAAGUAUUUUAUUAUUUAAAAUGAUACGAUUAUGUAUAGCUUAUUGUUCAGCACUUUGGUCAUGUCAUGCAAUUCGAGUAGAUUUUUUAGACAUGAGAGUACAACAAACGGCUCGAUAAAAAUCUUAACAUGCAUGCACACCGAGGGAGAAGAAUGACCGACGGACGGACAGAUAAAUAUUAAAAGUGGCCACAAAUUAUUAUUAUGGUCCACUCACUCACUCACUUGUUGCUCUUGGUUCUAGGUUGGGACAACAAAUUGCUGUCGAAAUCUAAAUUGUUACACAAAGCAAGCAAGGGGGAGGACAACGCUCAAGUUCUGCAUCAACCACACACCAAGAAUAAAUGAGAUGCGACGAUUUAUCAGAAUUUCGUGACUUAAAAUGCUGACCUACAAUCAGAGAGGAUAUCACCAUUACUUGGCCAUUUUAAGCAUGACUGUAAUAAAUAAGUUAUACAUACGAUACGACCAGACCACCAAAUAAGAAGAAGAAAAGAAAAGGACCAAUCCUUUAAAAAAUAGUGUGGCAUUCCAUAUUGCGCAAGGUUUUGGGCUUGAUUUUUGAUCCAAAUGAAGAUGGUCUCAAUUCAUGCGUUAAGUGAAUUGGCGAUUCUUCGUGGGUAUGCAUGUGGUGCUUUCGUUCGAGAAUUUUUGCUGGCCUGGUCUAAAUAAGUACGUUGUCUGUCUCGUAAAUUAAUUCUCUCAGAGCAUGUAAUGGUAAUUGUGGUAUUGUGUUGCAAGGAAUAAUACACUAAAUCAACUAUGUAUAUCUGCAUUUUUUUCGUUUAGAUCGUGAUAUUUCCAAGAAAUGUUGCGUUGGCUUGAUUUGUUCCACAGAAUGUCACGAAAGAUCGUUCCCUGCGCAGAUUUAUUAAUUGUUGCAGCACAAAUGAAGGAAGGAGGAUGCAUUUCAAAUUAAGUUUCGCCUCACAAAAGAUUCUUUUCGUAAUUAAUCAUACAAAAUAUAACCGAUUUUAAUGCAAUUUGUCAUUUUCCAAACUACGGUAUAUCCUCUGCCAGGUGAAAAUACUGAGGAAAUUUUAGUUGGCAAUUUAUUAUCACGAAAAUUUUUCCCUUUUGCUUGCACAUAAUUUUUAUUUGUAUCCUGCUUGACCACCCAACCGAGUCUCCUUGCUGAAUUCCUGUCACAAUUAUUUACUUUGGGAUAUUGUCGUGACCAUUGUCGUCCACUAAAGGUGAUCCUAACUAACUAAGCAAAAGCGGAUGACGGCGCAUGUUGACUUUCAAUUCCAUACAUAUUUAUGUACAUACAUUCAUCCAAAUAUAAGCCAUAAGUAGAGAGAACAGUGAUAAGUAAAUACUUGGUGCAGAUCUUUCUCGAAAAAAACUUGGCAAUGUGCGAAUUACGAGAAAAACAAGAUAAUGAAUUAAUAACAAUAGGCCUUGAUUAGAGGAGGAGAUUGCUUGUUUUGCUUUUACUUUUCUUGUAUCAAAAUCAUUAAGGAGAGGACUUUACUUAUCUUAAUGGAUACAUUAUUUAUUAUCCCACACAUUGUGCACCCACACUUUUGUCCCCUUAAAAUAAAUUGGAUUGGAUUGGACAAGAACUUUAUUUUGGACAAGUUUACUGACGGUGGUGGAAAUGUGGUAAUAAUAACCUCACACAAUGAAAUAACAUGGCAUGUUGGUGACUAUUAGCCGCAAAUCCACGGCCAAAAAUAACGACAGGAAGGUGAUGAUGAUGGUGGGGGAUCAAUUAUUCGCUGUGAUGCAACCGCAGUCACGAAUUUGUAAAAUAAUGUUGUAACAAAAAAAGACUUGAGCGAACGACAAUAAAUAAGAUAACCCCAAUAACUCUGUAA